This 75-nucleotide small RNA is filed under the name Enterobacter cloacae. Its description in RNAcentral is "isrK". It matches the Rfam family "isrK Hfq binding RNA". Lineage: Bacteria; Pseudomonadati; Pseudomonadota; Gammaproteobacteria; Enterobacterales; Enterobacteriaceae. RNAcentral also lists the same sequence under 1 other name. The record is from RNAcentral.
GCACCAGCAAAAUCUGGUGUCGGGAUUGGCGUCCCGGAUUGAAAAGGCGACUACAGACGCGCCAGCGUCUUUUUU